AUUGAACGCUGGCGGCAGGCCUAACACAUGCAAGUCGAACGGUAACAGGAAGCAGCUUGCUGCUUCGCUGACGAGUGGCGGACGGGUGAGUAAUGUCUGGGAAACUGCCUGAUGGAGGGGGAUGACUACUGGAAACGGUAGCUAAUACCGCAUAACGUCGCAAGACCAAAGAGGGGGACCUUAGGGCCUCUUGCCAUCGGAUGUGCCCAGAUGGGAUUAGCUAGUAGGUGGGGUAACGGCUCACCUAGGCGACGAUCCCUAGCUGGUCUGAGAGGAUGACCAGCCACACUGGAACUGAGACACGGUCCAGACUCCUACGGGAGGCAGCAGUGGGGAAUAUUGCACAAUGGGCGCAAGCCUGAUGCAGCCAUGCCGCGUGUAUGAAGAAGGCCUUCGGGUUGUAAAGUACUUUCAGCGGGGAGGAAGGGAGUAAAGUUAAUACCUUUGCUCAUUGACGUUACCCGCAGAAGAAGCACCGGCUAACUCCGUG
RNAcentral lists this ribosomal RNA (490 nucleotides) under uncultured bacterium. RNAcentral's name for it is "partial 16S ribosomal RNA". It matches the Rfam family "Bacterial small subunit ribosomal RNA", at positions 30 to 507 of the family's 1533-position model. The record is from RNAcentral.